AGUGGAGUGGCAGCCCCAGAACUGGGACCACCGGGGGCGGUGAGGCGGCUUGGCACUGGGAGCUGCAUCUGAGGCUUAGUCCCUGAGUUCUCCGCCUGCCCAGACUAGCUGCACCUCCUCAUUCCCUGCGCCCCCUUCCUCUCCGGAAGCCCCCCAGGAUGGUGAGGUGGUUUCACCGAGACCUCAGUGGGCUGGAUGCAGAGACCCUGCUCAAGGGCCGAGGUGUCCAUGGUAGCUUCCUGGCUCGGCCCAGUCGCAAGAACCAGGGUGACUUCUCGCUCUCCGUCAGGUAGGUGGGCCCCCCCAACCCCGGGUGUUUUGGCCACUCUCUUGUGCCGUCCAGGCCCUGAACCACUCAUUCCUGGUUCCCCGUGGCAGUGCUGACUCCCCCGUCUGUUCCCUGGCCCCAACCCCCGCACUCUCCAUCCCUGUCUGUACCCACCCAUGCCCAUGUGUGCCCCCACCCAGGACCUCAGCCGAUCCCUGCCCUCCUGCCUCUACUCCUGCACCGACUGGCCUCACCGCCUGGUGCCCUGCAGGGUAGGGGAUCAGGUGACCCAUAUUCGGAUCCAGAACUCAGGGGAUUUCUAUGACCUGUAUGGAGGGGAGAAGUUCGCAACACUGACAGAGCUGGUGGAGUACUACACUCAGCAGCAGGGCGUCCUGCAGGACCGCGAUGGCACCAUCAUCCACCUCAAGUACCCGCUGAACUGCUCCGAUCCCACUAGUGAGAGGUGGUACCAUGGCCACAUGUCUGGAGGGCAGGCAGAGACGCUGCUGCAGGCCAAGGGCGAGCCCUGGACGUUUCUUGUGCGCGAGAGCCUCAGCCAGCCUGGGGACUUCGUGCUGUCUGUGCUCAGUGACCAGCCCAAGGCUGGCCCAGGCUCCCCGCUCAGGGUCACCCACAUCAAGGUCAUGUGUGAGGGUGGACGCUACACAGUGGGUGGUUCGGAGACCUUCGACAGCCUCACGGACCUGGUGGAGCAUUUCAAGAAGACGGGGAUUGAGGAGGCCUCGGGCGCCUUUGUCUACCUGCGGCAGCCGUACUACGCCACGAGGGUGAAUGCGGCUGACAUUGAGAACCGAGUCUUGGAACUGAACAAGAAGCAGGAGUCCGAGGAUACAGCCAAGGCUGGCUUCUGGGAGGAGUUUGAGAGUUUGCAGAAGCAGGAGGUGAAGAACUUGCACCAGCGUCUGGAAGGGCAGCGGCCAGAGAACAAGGGCAAGAACCGCUACAAGAACAUUCUCCCCUUUGACCACAGCCGAGUGGUCCUGCAGGGACGUGACAGUAACAUCCCCGGGUCCGACUACAUCAAUGCCAACUACAUCAAGAACCAGCUGCUAGGCCCUGAUGAGAACGCUAAGACCUACAUCGCCAGCCAGGGCUGUCUGGAGGCCACGGUCAACGACUUCUGGCAGAUGGCGUGGCAGGAGAACACACGCGUCAUUGUCAUGACCACCCGAGAGGUGGAGAAAGGCCGGAACAAAUGUGUCCCAUACUGGCCCGAGGUGGGCAUGCAGCGCGUUUAUGGGCCCUACUCUGUGACCAACUGCGGGGAGCAUGACACAACCGAGUACAAACUCCGUACCUUACAGGUCUCCCCGCUGGACAAUGGAGACCUGAUUCGGGAGAUCUGGCAUUACCAGUACCUGAGCUGGCCCGACCAUGGGGUCCCCAGUGAGCCUGGGGGUGUCCUCAGCUUCCUGGACCAGAUCAACCAGCGGCAGGAAAGUCUGCCUCACGCGGGGCCCAUCAUCGUGCACUGCAGCGCCGGCAUUGGCCGCACAGGCACCAUCAUUGUCAUCGACAUGCUCAUGGAGAACAUCUCCACCAAGGGCCUGGACUGUGACAUUGACAUCCAGAAGACCAUCCAGAUGGUGCGGGCGCAGCGCUCGGGCAUGGUGCAGACGGAGGCGCAGUACAAGUUCAUCUACGUGGCCAUCGCCCAGUUCAUUGAAACCACCAAGAAGAAGCUGGAGGUCCUGCAGUCACAGAAGGGCCAGGAGUCGGAGUACGGGAACAUCACCUACCCCCCAGCCAUGAAGAAUGCCCAUGCCAAGGCCUCCCGCACCUCGUCCAAACACAAGGAGGAUGUGUAUGAGAACCUGCACACUAAGAACAAGAGGGAGGAGAAAGUGAAGAAGCAGCGGUCAGCAGACAAGGAGAAGAGCAAGGGUUCCCUCAAGAGGAAGUGAGCGGUGCCGUCCUCAGGUGGCCAUGCCUCAGCCCUGACCCUGUGGAAGCGUUCCGCGAUGGACAGACUCACAACCUGAACCUAGGAGCGCCCCAUUCUUUUGUAAUUUAAAUGGCUGCAUCCCCCCCACCUCUCCCUGACCCUGUAUAUAGCCCAGCCAGGCCCCAGGCAGGGCCAACCCUUCUCCUCUUGUAAAUAAAGCCCUGGGAUCACUGUG
RNAcentral lists this small RNA (2412 nucleotides) under Pongo abelii (Sumatran orangutan). Its description in RNAcentral is "retained intron". Lineage: Eukaryota; Metazoa; Chordata; Mammalia; Primates; Hominidae. The record is from RNAcentral.